Molecule: ribosomal RNA, 600 nt
Filed under: uncultured bacterium
Lineage: Bacteria
Description: bacterial SSU rRNA
Rfam family: Bacterial small subunit ribosomal RNA
Source: RNAcentral
CGGCCGCAAGGUUAAAACUCAAAUGAAUUGACGGGGGCCCGCACAAGCGGUGGAGCAUGUGGUUUAAUUCGAUGCAACGCGAAGAACCUUACCAAGUCUUGACAUCCUGCGAAUUUUCUAGAGAUAGAUUAGUGCCUUCGGGAGCGCAGUGACAGGUGCUGCAUGGCUGUCGUCAGCUCGUGUUGUGAAAUGUUGGGUUAAGUCCCGUAACGAGCGCAACCCUUGUCCUUAGUUGCUAGCAGGUUAUGCUGAGAACUCUAAGGAGACUGCCCGUGACAAACCGGAGGAAGGUGGGGACGACGUCAAGUCAUCAUGGCCCUUACGACUUGGGCUACACACGUGCUACAAUGGCCGGUACAAAGGGUUGCCAAGCCGCGAGGUGGAGCUAAUCUCAUAAAACUGGUCGUAGUCCGGAUUGGGGUCUGCAACUCGACUCCAUGAAGUCGGAAUCGCUAGUAAUCGUGAAUCAGAAUGUCACGGUGAAUACGUUCCCGGGCCUUGUACACACCGCCCGUCACACCAUGGGAGUGGGUUGCUCCAGAAGUGGCUAGUCUAACCUUCGGGGGGACGGUCACCACGGAGUGAUUCAUGACUGGGGUG